RNAcentral lists this ribosomal RNA (253 nucleotides) under uncultured bacterium. Its description in RNAcentral is "partial 16S ribosomal RNA". It matches the Rfam family "Bacterial small subunit ribosomal RNA", at positions 524 to 776 of the family's 1533-position model. The record is from RNAcentral.
UACGUAGGCAGCAAGCGUUGUUCGGAGUUACUGGGCGUAAAGGGUGCGUAGGUGGCUCUAUAAGUAUGGUGUGAGAUCUCCCGGCUUAGCUGGGAGGGUGCGCCGUAGACUGUGGGGCUAGAGUGUGGGAGAGGAAAGUGGAAUUCCUGGUGUAGCGGUGAAAUGCGUAGAUAUCAGGAGGAACACCGGUGGUGUAAACGGCUUUCUGGACCAUAACUGACACUGAGGCACGAAAGCGUGGGUAGCAAACAGG